AGGUAAGCUACUAAGAGCGAAUGGUGGAUGCCUUGACUGGUAAAGGCGAUGAAGGACGUACUAGACUGCGAUAAGCUACGGGGAGCUGUCAAGAAGCUUUGAUCCGUAGAUUUCCGAAUGGGGCAACCCAAUGUAUAGAGAUAUACAUUACCUAUAUAGGAGCGAACGAGGGGAAUUGAAACAUCUUAGUACCCUCAGGAAAAGAAAUCAAUAGAGAUUGCGUCAGUAGCGGCGAGCGAAAGCGCAAGAGGGCAAACCCAGUGCUUGCACUGGGGGUUGUAGGACUGCAAUGUGCAAGAGGUGAGUUUAGCAGAACAUUCUGGAAAGUAUAGCCAUAGAGGGUGAUAGUCCCGUAUGCGAAAAACAAACCUUAGCUAGCAGUAUCCUGAGUAGGGCGGGACACGAGAAAUCCUGUCUGAAGCUGGGUCGACCACGAUCCAACCCUAAAUACUAAUACCAGAUCGAUAGUGCACAAGUACCGUGAGGGAAAGGUGAAAAGAACUGAGGUGAUCAGAGUGAAAUAGAACCUGAAACCAUUUGCUUACAAUCAUUCAGAGCCCUAUGUAGCAAUACAGGGUGAUGGACUGCCUUUUGCAUAAUGAGCCUGCGAGUUGUGGUGUCUGGCAAGGUUAAGCAAACGCGAAGCCGUAGCGAAAGCGAGUCUGAAUAGGGCGCUUAGUCAGAUGCUGCAGACCCGAAACGAAGUGAUCUAUCCAUGAGCAAGUUGAAGCUAGUGUAAGAACUAGUGGAGGACUGAACCCAUAGGCGUUGAAAAGCCCCGGGAUGACUUGUGGAUAGGGGUGAAAGGCCAAUCAAACUUCGUGAUAGCUGGUUCUCUCCGAAAUAUAUUUAGGUAUAGCGUUGUGUCGUAAUAUAAGGGGGUAGAGCACUGAAUGGGCUAGGGCAUACACCAAUGUACCAAACCCUAUCAAACUCCGAAUACCUUAUAUGUAAUCACAGCAGUCAGGCGGCGAGUGAUAAAAUCCGUCGUCAAGAGGGAAACAACCCAGACUACCAGCUAAGGUCCCUAAAUCUUACUUAAGUGGAAAACGAUGUGAAGUUACUUAAACAACCAGGAGGUUGGCUUAGAAGCAGCCAUCCUUUAAAGAAAGCGUAAUAGCUCACUGGUCUAGUGAUUUUGCGCGGAAAAUAUAACGGGGCUAAAGUAAGUACCGAAGCUGUAGACUUGAUUUUAUCAAGUGGUAGGAGAGCGUUCUAUUUGCGCCGAAGGUAUACCGGUAAGGAGUGCUGGAGCGAAUAGAAGUGAGCAUGCAGGCAUGAGUAGCGAUAAUUAAUGUGAGAAUCAUUAACGCCGUAAACCCAAGGUUUCCUACGCGAUGCUCGUCAUCGUAGGGUUAGUCGGGUCCUAAGUCGAGUCCGAAAGGGGUAGACGAUGGCAAAUUGGUUAAUAUUCCAAUACCAACAUUAGUGUGCGAUGGAAGGACGCUUAGGGCUAAGGGGGCUAGCGGAUGGAAGUGCUAGUCUAAGGUCGUAGGAGGUUAUACAGGCAAAUCCGUAUAACAAUACUCCGAGAACUGAAAGGCUUUUUGAAGUCUUCGGAUGGAUAGAAGAACCCCUGAUGCCGUCGAGCCAAGAAAAGUUUCUAAGUUUAGCUA
Molecule: ribosomal RNA, 1616 nt
Filed under: Campylobacter coli
Lineage: Bacteria; Pseudomonadati; Campylobacterota; Epsilonproteobacteria; Campylobacterales; Campylobacteraceae
Description: partial 23S ribosomal RNA
Rfam family: Bacterial large subunit ribosomal RNA
Source: RNAcentral